Equus quagga is the source of this 6143-nucleotide long non-coding RNA. RefSeq lists it as uncharacterized. The transcript has 3 exons. The record is from RefSeq and is a predicted model, not a curated record. Lineage: Eukaryota; Metazoa; Chordata; Mammalia; Perissodactyla; Equidae.
CCAUGCUAUUCCCUGAAUAAAGGAGCACUCCUGCCAGACCUUGAGAGUCCAAGAAAUCUUUCUUUCCACUCCUUGGCUCACCAAGCCCGCAUCAGCCAGCUCUUGUCUUGGAGUGUCAGCUGAUAUUGAAAUGGAAAGAACCCAUGUUUAACAUUCUGUUUUGCACAAACAGAAUAAAGAGGCAGACAGCAUGCACAUCAGUCUUGUUAGAGGCAUCUUGAGGAGAGAGGAUGAGGAUGGGAGUCUGGAUAGGAGGAUCUUUAGGGUUCCUUCCAAUCAAAGAGAUUCCAUGGCAGGCUGGUAGGGAGUACAAGUAUUGGAGACACUCCUUGAUGAUGAUGUUGGGCAGACGAGACAGCCAUGAAGCGUGAUAGUAGUUGACUCUCGCAAAUGCUCUCGAUACUAACAAAUGCAUUACAAUAAGCGUGAAUAAUCAGGCGUUGAGUUGCUUGAAACCAGCUUUACAUCUCAGAGAACAGAGAAGAAUCAGCUCACUGUGGCCGUUUCUGAGAGGAAGCAGAUGUAAACUGAACCUGGUGUUCAGAAAGGGGAGACGCCUCGCUUCCCGCCUCCACAGGCUGUCCUCCCGGGCUCUGCACUUACUUGUCCCCCCAAAUGCCACCUUGCCAGGAAGUCAUUCCCCAUCCGUGUCGCUGGAGGUAAACCUGUCAUCUCUCAACCCUGUUGCAUUUUAUCUAAACUCCUGUUUUGCCCUGGCCCGUGGAGGGAAACACACACAUUGUCACAAUUAUUAUUUCCAAACCGCUGAGUCAAGCUGUUGGUUGAGUGGGGCUUAGAGCUGGGUUUCUGGGUUUCGACUACAGGGCUCUCUCCAGCUCCUCCUCUCUGUCCUCCCAGGCCUUUCCCAGGCACCAGGAGCCUGGAAAGCACUUUGCUGGAUAUUCAAUCCUGCUGGCAUUUGUGACAGGGGACGUGUGCCCAGAUCCAUCUUGCGUGUUUCCAACUCGGAGCCCCCUGGAAGGGAGGUGCUCCCCAGAGACGAGGAGAGCGGCCACAGAAAGCUGAACUCCCCGUGCUGGUCCUGCUGAGGGGGGCUGGUCCUCUCGUCCCGGCCAACCUCCCUUCUGCGUGUCUUUAAUGAGCAUUUGGCUUGCAUUUGGAUCAGACCAGGGCUUGGGUGACGGGCAUGGAGAUGAACUCCUGAGUUAGCUCUCUAAGAGGAAAGUAAAGGCCUGGCCAUGGGCUUGAUGGGAGUCUCACUUCUCUGCCAACAUUAUGUAGAGAAAAGGGCAGUUGUGCUGAAUUACUGCAUUUUUAUGUAGCGUCUGUUCAAAUCCUCUUAUUUUACAAGAUGGAAACCAAGUCUCGGACAGUGGCAAUGAUGCCCAGGUUCAUGCAUCUGGUUUAGCAGUCGGUGUGGCCACCACUUGGCCAUGCAGAGCCACCUCUGCCCAAGUGCCACCUCAUCGGGGGAGAGUGCCCCACCCGUCUAGGCUGAGAUAGAUGCUCUGCAUGUACUGAGGCCACUGCACUCAUCCUUUGACUGUGGGAGUCCUUCCCACUAGGCCGUAUGUCCCUGGAGGGUCAGGACCACAUACUUAUCAUCCCUGGGUCACCAGGAGAGGGCCCACAGGGAUCCCAUUGUGGGGUGGGGCGCUGGCAUCAGGACUGGCUUUUCCACAGGAAGUCAGACCAGCUCUGCCUGCUGAGGUCUCCUCUCCCCCUUCCCACAGUGAGCCUCGGAGGUGAGCAGUUUCUUCUGAGGGUGCCACCCCGCUCUCCCAGGAGGGCAGCCCUGCCACGGGGCAGCCGGGGUUUCUGACCAGUGUCCCAACGCAAAAGAAAACUGUCUAGAACACUGCUGUCCAGUCGAAAAGUCAUGUGAAAAAAGGAAAAAAAAACAACAGGUGAAAUUAAUUUCAAUAACAUUUUAAUUCAAGAUAUCCAAAAUAUCGUUUUUAUAUCUAAUCAAUAGAAACAAUUAUGAAUGAGACUGUUUGCAUUCUUUUUUGUACUAAGCGCUCAAAAUCCGAUACGUAUUUUAUAGUCACAGCACAUCUCAAUUGGAACUCUAAAUUUUCAUUGAAAAUUUUAAUUUGCAUUUCGAUUUUCUAAAACUUAAUUGAAAAAAAGAGAUCCACCUGCCCACGUUGUUCUAAACAUACUUAAAGUUUUCCAGUAGCUGAAUUAAGUAUCUUUUUAAAUUUAGAUUUAUUGAAAUAAACUAAAAAGUCCAGUUUCUCUUCACACUAGUCACUAGCACUUCUAGUGCUCAGUGGCCACACGAAGUUUCUAGAAGGUGGCUAGGAGCUAAGGGAAGAGGUGACUGAAUCAGGGAAGAAAGCCCCAAUGGCUCUAAGGGAAGGUGGCAGCCUCACUCAUCAUUUCUGUGUCCAAAUAGACAUUUCACUUAUUUUCCUGAAGACUUCAGGGCUGAGGGCAGCUGGCAGCCGUGGGGGGAGGCUGAGCCAGCUUCCAACACAGUCUGCAGUGGGAUUUCACUUUGCUCUGUUUUCAGCAGGACUGGGAAGUUUGGACAGCGCUGUCAUCGCUGGGGGGACACGGAGGAUUGAAAUUCUGGGGAGACCCUCCUGGGCCCAGGGACCCCUGAGAAUAAUUGGAGGCUGGGGAGGCCCCUGGAGCUGACGGAGGGAACAGCGGCUCCCCUACUGGAAGCCAGAGGAACAGCAGUCCUGCCUCGCUGGAGUCAGCAGACAGUCAGAGGGCCGAGGGAUGCCACCGUUCAAGAGCAGAAGGCAGGCCUAGGAGUCUGGUGGAGCGUGGUGGGCAGAGGCCAAAGAAAGCCUGGAUCCUUUUUGAGCUUCCAAGUCUCAGGACACAGAGGUCCCUGACUCUAGAAGCAUAGAAACGUUAGUACAGAAAGGGAUCUUCAAAAGUGAGGGUAAAAUUAUUUAAUACAGUUCUGUGGUUUCCAAACCCGCAACAAAAAUUAGUUGUUUUUCUCUAGACUGAUUCAGCCAACAAAUAUUUGUUAGGAGUCUGCAAUCAGCGUAUUCAGAAAUAUACAUUGGUUGGAGAUAUACAGCUAUAUCUGGGCACAUGUGAAAUAUACAUUUUAAAAAAAAUGAUGUUAUCAAAUCCCUUCAGUGGUCUUUUCUAAAAUAUUUAUAACCUGAAAGCAAUAAUGUACAUAGUAAAAAAUUCAAACUGAACCAAAAGUUAUACAAUGGAAAGUAAAAAUCCUCUCUUUCUCCCUUGAAUGUCUGUUUAAAAUGCUCAGAGAGCUUGGCGUAUAGUAGCUGUUCAAUAAACAUUAGUUUGCUACCAAUGAAUGUUGAAGGUGGACCAGAAAAAACAGCAACAAAAAGUGUUAUCAAAUGGAAAACCAACUGGGCAGUGCGUGAGGGAUGGGGUCAGGGGCCAGAGGUGUGACAGCCAGGUCCACCACUGUUGCUUUUGAAUUUGAGAGCUUUAAAGGUUAUUUAACCCAGACUCGACCAAAUGUUUAGAGAAGGUGUUCUGUGUCACUCUGGGAGCCUCUGUAAGCAGAGAACCCAAGGUCAUGAGGCAGACGGCGACAUUGCUUUUUGAAAUCUGUGGAGGGCAAGUCGGGUAUGAGAGCUGGUGUUGGGAGAGACAGACACAUCCUCAGAAAAGAGCUGGGUUCUCUCCUGGGCACGUGGUUGAGUGACCAAGGGCCAACACAGUGGAUGCUCAGGCUAUGGAGGGGGUUACACGGAACUAAAAGACAAUCUUUUAUCCUUAAGGAGUUUGCAUCCGGGGAAGACAGAAGGGUAAACCGCGAACGGAUAAUGUAAUGCGGAGCACCAUGCUAGCUGACGGGAGAUUUCCUUUAGGUCCAAAGGAGGAGCGAGCGAAGUACCGCCCCGAAGGCCAAAUCCAGCCCACCACCGGCGUUUGUAAAUAAAAUUGCAUUGGCCCAGGGCAUGCUCAUUUGUUCCUGUGGGGUCUGUGGCUGCUUUCGCCCCCUAAAGGCAGAGUUGAGUAGUUGCAAGAGAGACUGGCCCUCAGAAGCUAAAAUAUUUACUAGCUGGCACUUUAAAGAGAAAGUUUGCCAACCCCUGGUCUAAACGAAGGAACAGUUAUUUUCAAUAGAGAAGGCUUGUUGGAGUGGCUUCUGGGAAAAAGGCGAUGAAGAAAGCGGGUAAUUCUGGGCACAAGCAAUGGCCGCUCGCCUCCAGGACGGAGCAGCAGGCCAGCCUCAGAAAUUCAGCUCUUCCAGCGCCGCCUCACCUCUGAGUUAAAAGGAGUAGGAUCAAUUUUUCCACAUCUAGUAGAAGAGAGAGGAUGAAGGAACCGAGGCCUGUAAACGUUUUGAGAAUAAUAUGAGAAAAGCAGCCAUUCAUCAGAAGACAUUAUUUCUAUUUUACUAUUAAAUGGAUGCUAAUUUUCCUUCUUUGACUUUCUUUUUUUCUUCCCAGCCCUGGCUGCCAAUUUCCUUCUUCCUGUUGUUCUGCCUUGAAAAACAAAACAAAACAAAACAGAAAACCAGGCAUGCCGCCACAAACCACAAAAUGUGUUUACUUCAAGCAGUGCAUUUUCAUUCUUUUGCAAAUAGGUUCACAAGAUCCAAAUAGGUUCAAAUAGGUUUUACAAGGUCCAGAAUUCAAAAGGUUUCAAGGAUGUAAAAAGACAAGCCUCCCUGUUCUUCCUCCUGGAGACAGCCGAGGGUGCCUGUUUCUUGCCCUCUAGAGCCUGCCUGAGAUACUUUGGGCAGGUACAAAUAUUUACAGAUACAUUAUUUUCCCUUCCUUUUAACACAAAUGAUUAUCUCCUAUAGAUACCGUUUUGCCCUUUGCUUUUUUCCCCUUAGGAAUGCCUUUUGGAAAGGGUUUCACAUCAAUACAUACAGAACUUCCCCAUUCUCUUUUACUGCUGUCUAGGGUCCCAUCACGUAGAUGUACCAUAUUAUGUUUAAGGGUUUUAGUGGUAAAUAGGGCUGUUGCUCUCCCCUCUUUCCUGCCGGCAAUGAUCCCUGGGUAGCGUUGCUGGCUUCAGGGGAGGGGUCAAUAACAGCAGCUAGGUAGAAGCUCAUGAUGCUGCUGGCUUUAAAGACCGCCCUUCCUUAGUCCUCUGGAGGUGAGGAGAGGGGGAGAGGGGAGCUGGAGUCCAGCAGGUGCUUGGCUGAGUCCUUCUGCCUGUUUGGCUGCCCCUGGGAUUAACCCUGUGGCUGGGAUUACCCUUCCUCAGGCUGCUGUGGGAAGAGCACCUGUUAUAACCGGAAACUGAAGGUAAGAUUAUUCUGAUGCAGUUGGAGCAGGGAAGUCGGAUCAGGUGGUGGUGCUGGCGUUUGGCAGGUGUAUUAGCCAUGGCUUCUUAAUUGACAGUUAUAAACACCUACCUCCAACCAGCUUAAGCCAAAAGGAAGGUUUGCGGACUUCUAGAGGCAAACAAGGCAAUUCAGGAGUUGUGGCAGACGUUACCAGUUGUUUACCCAAUGUGCGUUCCCUCCAUCUUCUCCAUGUGCACAGUUAAGAAGACUCAGCUCUCCAGACUCCCUGGAGAUAGGAGUGGCCUCACGGCCCUUUUCUGAACACUGAGGUGUAAGCAGAAGUGUACGGUGUGGGACUACUGGGAAUCCUGACCAAAGGGGACACACUUAGCUGGCUCAUGUUUUUCGUCCUUCUUGUCUGGAACGUGGGUAAGAUGCCCAGAGAGGCAGCAGUCAUCUUGGGAGAUGAGAAGGAGAGGCAGCUGACGAGGGUGCUGGGAUGAAAAGGGAGGAGGAGCCUGGGGCUUUGCUGUUGUCAUGAAGCCAGCAGACCAGAUCUCGCCUGUGGCCUGAGAAAAAUAAACUCCUACUUGGGUUAUUCUCUCAGAACCCUUGAUGGGGCAAGGGGCAGGGUACCAGCACCUCUGGAAUCCACGCUGAUAGCUUCCCACCAGGGGAAAGAGGGAGCUGUACCUCUGACUCCAAAUGGGAGGAAAAAGAACCUCCAAGGAAGAAUCUGAUUGGUGUGGCUUGGAGGGUACUCCUUGACCCAAUUACCAUGGACAAAAGGAUGAGGUGGAGAGGAUGGUUUCCCUGACUGGUGCCAACUGGGAGUCCUUCUGCGUAUGAGUCCACCUGAGCAGCUCUUGCCUGCCCUCUCCUGGGCACUGGUGGAUACAGCUAGCUGCUCUUCGGGAGCUGGAUAUAAACUGGUCACAGCCCGGCCUCACGAUAUGAAUUUGUCUUCUUAUAUCUGCCCCCCAAUCUC